Molecule: long non-coding RNA, 3527 nt
Filed under: Felis catus (domestic cat)
Lineage: Eukaryota; Metazoa; Chordata; Mammalia; Carnivora; Felidae
Description: lncRNA (ENSFCAG00000047060.1)
Source: RNAcentral
CCUCAAUUCAGGCACAAGACCCCAUGUCUCUGAUUUCUCAUGUAGUUCCCAUGAAAGUACUUGGACUCCUCGUCCGUGUGGCCUGAUCUUUCUCCUCAUGCACUUGGGCCCAUGAGGGCUCUUUGCCUUCCUGGGAAGGCUUCUUCCCAGCUCCUGACCUUCCGUUGUCCACGAGGCAGGUAAAUAUAGAAAUAUUUGUGGGCUGCACUUAUGCUUUGAAAAAAGAAAUAGAGCACAGAGGUUUUAAGCAAGUUGCCAAAGGUCACACAGCUGGGAAGUAAUAAAACCAGGAGUUGAUGUUAAGAAGUUAGAGUAAGUGCUCUUAACUCCUACCCUGUCUCUGCCUCUCAAGCGUUCAGCCAGCAUCAGUGUCCCUUUUUCUCCUUUUAUAUAAUCAACUCAGUACUGGCAAUGUGGCCUUGAUUUAUGUUUGGAGUCAUGAAAUACCUGACUAGUUCGGGCCAUUUCUCCAAAUCUCAAAAACCCUUAUGCUGGGCUUCUCGAACUUGGCUUCCCAUUGCAAUCACCUGGGGAGGUUUAAAACACAGUCAUAUCCGAGCCUCAUCCCGGAGAUUCUGAGGGUGUCGUUACGGGCUGUGUUGUGGGCACCAGGGUUUAUGAAAACUCCGCAGGUAAUUCUAAUGUGCAGCAUCGCCGAGAACCCCUGCUCUGAUAAACCUAAGCAUCAGCUGAUUCAACUGGCAAGGACGAUUUCACUCCGUCUAACCUGAUUUUAUUUCCGGGUGUUGAUGACGCAAGCAAACAUGUGAAAUAUGUACCAGCUUGGACCCACUCCUCAAGGGGAAGCUGAGGUAAAAUCGCAGUGGAAUAACCAUGCACGAGGGCUUGUGAGAAGACUUCAGCCACUCCCAGGAAAGCGACCAUCUGCACCCUCCAGGAAGGCUAACCUCCUUUCCAGAAAAGAGCCUGACGUGCAGUCGGGUUCCAGUGAGCAGUGUUUCCCGGGCGGCUGCACUUGGAGAGAUGGCCAUGGAACACCAGAGCUCAGGAUUCACUCACCCAUCCAUUCUACUAACGUGUUCAUGCCCCUGGGCACCUGCCCCGGCCUCUACAAGGCCUGGGGCCAGCAGUGAGCAAGGCAGGCAUGGUCUCUGCCUUAUGGAGUUCACCAGCUAAUGAGGAUGGACGUUUAAUGUUUAAAAUCAAAUAAUUAUAUAACUACGAGUUGUGAUAAGUGCCAGGAAAGGGGGGAAAUGGUGCUAUGAGAGAAAUUAAUAGAGGAAAUCUUGUUGACAUUGGAUGGUGAGUGAGGGGCAGGGCAGCCACCCUGGGCCCAAGAGGUGAGUAGGAUGUGGCUGGGGGAGGGGGUGAAGGGUAUUUCCAGGUAGGGGGCAUUAUAGGGGAAUGCUUAGCACUUUGCUCAAGGGAAUUAGCCUGACUGGAGGCAGUGGGCAGGGACAGAAAGGAUACUAGGAGAAGUGGAAGGGUGAGGGGGAUUUGGAAUUUUAUCCUGAGACCCAUGGGAAGCCUUAGGGCAGUUUGAGUGAGGGCCUGGUGGCGGGGGGGACAAGGGGGGGUUACAUGACCAUUGUGGGUCUUUAGGAGGAGGACACAUUGGAGAAGCGCCAGUGGAAGUGAAGUCAGCAGAGAGAACGUGAGAGGGGAUGGCACACAGCGCCCUCACCCCUCCCAUCAACCUUACCCUCCUCUUGCUUGGACCCUGGGGGUGAGGGAACAGCAGGUGCGUCCACUGCCCAUCAGCACUUGUGUUUUCUGCGUCUGGAGGAAUGAGGCGGCCGGGGUGGAGGUUGGCCGAGUUAUCGUGUUGCCCACUCUUCCAGGCCGGCCUCUGGGACACAGCAGGGUGGCAGGUCCUUGGUUUCCACACUGACUUGCAGCAUUCUCGUCCUUGGGGACGUGCCACCUGCUUGUGCUCUUUGGUGGUGAACAAACACAGGAGUGUAUUUACCCUCUGCGUCUCUCCCAUCCAUCUCCUUUUUUCCAGCCUCUGCUGACAUCCCAGCUCGGGCCCUGACCUCCUUUGACCUGGUUCGCUGCAGUAGACUUCUCUAACUGCCUCCCCACUGGUGUGACGACCUCAGCUAUCUCCUGCUAAUCAGGCCCUACCUUGAAAUCUGACUCAUCUUUCCAAGCCAUAGCCUUCAGGACACCACUUCCCUGAUUUUUCACGGCUCCUCAUUGCAGAAUGAGUUAAACUGAAGGUCUUAACCUUGGCCUUCAAGUUCCCAGAGUGCCUCUGCUCCCACCCCCUGGAUGACUGACCACACAGGACCACUCUCUGACCACGGCUUUUGCUCUCCUGUCUCCUGCCUUUGGAAUCGGCCCUGCCUGUCAAAACCACGUGAUGUUUCCCCUCCGUGAAGGACAAGGGCAAAUUCCUCCUGCCGGUUACUUCCGGCCUCAAUGUUUAUCUUCGCCAUGUGCCCUAUCCCGCUUGUUCUGUGAUCGCAUGUACCACAGCGUAUUCCUCACUGCUGCCCAUCUUAGUCCUGGGGUCACUUGGGGGAGGACCUGUGGCUGUACUUUUCUCCCCUCCUUGCCCCUUCCUCAGGGAGCAUUGUCAGCUUAGCAGCGGAUCAGAGCUGAGAGACACUGCCAUUCCUUACCUCUACGUGCUCGUUUUCUUUUUCUUCCUGCUUUGUUUCUUUCAGUGCCAAUGUUUUCUUUUAACAGAAUGUAGAGCUCCGGGCACUUUUUCUUCUGCUGAUGCAUCUACAGUGUCCCCUCCGCACUCUCAGCUCCUCGAUUCCUCAGGGAUGGGAAGGUAGAGGAGGGCCAGAUCCAUUUUCACCUGCCUUGCUAAUGGCCACAGGUUGGUAGUGCGAGCCAGCUUUUUGUUGACUCAGUCCCACUGAAGGGAGCCAAGAGGCUGUGUGUGUGUGAACCCUGAAGGUUCGCAGGCUCCCCAGCGGACAUGGCCCGAGGCCUCAGCACGUCGUUAGCUCAUGCAGAAAGUACCCUUCACGAAGUGUCAAACAGCAUAGUUGUGGCCUCCAACACUGCAGCUUCGGGUCAUAUCUCAAGUACCUUUGCCAGGUUUCAGGGACAUCACAGCUCUUAAAUGUCAAAGAACAGGGGAUCGAUGCUGCCCUGGACUCAGCCAGGAAAAUGUCUGAUGACAAUCGACAGGCUUGGGGCCACGCUCUACAAAAAUUCUGUACGGUCCCCGGAGUCCUCCCUUCUUGCACACACACCUUCUCAGUUUCCAAACUCAACUCAAGAAUGAGUUACAAAAAGACAGACAACACCAAACAUUAAUGAAGAUUUGGGACAAUAGGAAUUUUCAUACAUUGUUGGUGGAGACAUACAUUGUACAACCACCACUUUGAAAACGGCCUUCUGUUUCAUAUCCUCUACCCUGUGAUCUUAAGCCUUAUCCAAGAGGAAUGAAAACGUGUCCAUAGAAAGACCUCUAUUUAAACGUACGUAGCAGCCUAAGUGUCCUUCAGUAGAAGAAUGUAUGAAAAAGUACAUAUUCACAGUGUAUUCCUGCAAUGAAAUACUACCACCUAGCAAUAAAAAGGAACAUACCAAGGACGAACCCA